AUGGCGUUCAGCAAACUCAACGGCCAGAUGGAAGCCAAGGCAGCCGCGGUUUUGUUCAUUGUGCUCCUUGGAUGCUCCAUGCUCAUGUUGGUCUCCUCAACUGAUGGUGAGAUCGGCAGAUCAGGUUGUCCUCGUCUUUCGGAUGGCGAUGCCAUAGGCAAAGACGACACCCCGUUCCCAAAAAUGUGCAUAGGGAGGAGGCAUGGCCCUGAGAACGUUGAAUUCUGUUGUGCAACACUACCAGGACUACCUUGCUGGCGAACGCAGGAAGAGUGCCUCCACGUUUGCCCGUAG
RNAcentral lists this ribosomal RNA (294 nucleotides) under Triticum aestivum (bread wheat). Its description in RNAcentral is "partial small subunit ribosomal RNA". The record is from RNAcentral. Lineage: Eukaryota; Viridiplantae; Streptophyta; Magnoliopsida; Poales; Poaceae.